CCUACGGGAGGCAGCAGUGAGGAAUAUUGGACAAUGGACGAAAGUCUGAUCCAGCUAUGCCGCGUGCAGGAUGACGGCCCUAUGGGUUGUAAACUGCUUUUAUACAGGAAGAAAAAAUCCGACGUGUCGGAUCUUGACGGUACUGUAAGAAUAAGGGUCGGCUAACUCCGUGCCAGCAGCCGCGGUAAUACGGAGGAUCCAAGCGUUAUCCGGAAUCAUUGGGUUUAAAGGGUCCGCAGGCGGUUUUUUAAGUCAGAGGUGAAAUCCUACAGCUCAACUGUAGAAUUGCCUUUGAUACUGAAAGACUUGAGUUAUUGUGAAGUGGUUAGAAUGUGUGGUGUAGCGGUGAAAUGCAUAGAUAUCACACAGAAUACCAAUUGCGAAGGCAGAUCACUAACAAUAUACUGACGCUCAGGGACGAAAGCGUGGGUAGCGAACAGGAUUAGAUACCCUGGUAGUCCACGCCGUAAACGAUGGAUACUAGCUGUAUGUCUACUUCAGGUAGAUGUGUGGCCAAGCGAAAGUGAUAAGUAUCCCACCUGGGGAGUACGAUCGCAAGAUUGAAACUCAAAUGAAUUGACGG
RNAcentral lists this ribosomal RNA (583 nucleotides) under uncultured bacterium. RNAcentral's name for it is "bacterial SSU rRNA". It matches the Rfam family "Bacterial small subunit ribosomal RNA", at positions 338 to 916 of the family's 1533-position model. The record is from RNAcentral.